Nicotiana tabacum (common tobacco) is the source of this 510-nucleotide long non-coding RNA. RefSeq lists it as uncharacterized. The record is from RefSeq and is a predicted model, not a curated record. Lineage: Eukaryota; Viridiplantae; Streptophyta; Magnoliopsida; Solanales; Solanaceae.
AUACAUCAACCCGUGCCCUUGCCUUUUAAGUUACCCAAAAACGCAUUCAUCCCACCGUACUCCUUAGUAAUUUCGAUCUUUAAAUUUCUUCUUUUUAUUAUGGCAAAAAUGGUUGCUGCUGCUCAUGAAGAAAACCCUUUCGGUUUCGAAGAUUAUUUUCCUUCAAUGAUGGAAAGACUUGGAGCUGAAGGUUUUAUGAGGGAGCUUUGCAAUGGUUUUUGCUUGCUAAUGGAUCUGAAGGAGAUUUGGAUGGGGAUGGAGCUCUUAAUCAGAUGGAGUUUUGUAUUCUUUGAUGGAUGGAUCCAAGCAAUAUAUGGAUGACUUGGGUCUUAUUUAUUUCCAACCCUAAUUCAUUUUAGUAUUAUGUUUCUAUGCCUAUCUUUUGGAUGUAACGGUAUUAAUAUCAUGAGAUGCCAAAUAAAUAAAAUACUCAUGUGUAUGAUGUAUCUUUUCCUUGGAAGGAGUGUUACAUAAUCAUACUGCAUCAGGUACUACUUCGUCAUGUUAAUA